CUCAGUUCGGAUUGCAGGCUGCAACUCGCCUGCAUGAAGCUGGAAUUGCUAAUAAUCGCGGAUCAGCAUGCCGCGGUGAAUACGUUCCCGGGCCUUGUACACACCGCCCGUCACACCAUGAGAGUCGGGAACACCCGAAGUCCGUAGUCUAACCGCAAGGAGGGCGCGGCCGAAGGUGGGUCCGGUAAUUGGGGUGAAGUCGUAACAAGGUAAC
This 214-nucleotide ribosomal RNA is filed under the name uncultured bacterium. RNAcentral describes it as "partial 16S ribosomal RNA". It matches the Rfam family "Bacterial small subunit ribosomal RNA", at positions 1287 to 1500 of the family's 1533-position model. The record is from RNAcentral.